CCUACGGGAGGCAGCAGUGGGGAAUAUUGCACAAUGGGGGAAACCCUGAUGCAGCGACGCCGCGUGAGCGAUGAAGUAUCUCGGUAUGUAAAGCCCUAUCAGCAGGGAAGAAAAUGACGGUACCUGACUAAGAAGCCCCGGCUAACUACGUGCCAGCAGCCGCGGUAAUGCGGAGGGGGCAAGCGUUAUCCGGAUUUACUGGGUGUAAAGGGGGCGUAGUCGGUCCUGCAAGGCAGAUGUGAAAGCCGCGGGCUCAACCCCGGGACUGCAUUUGAAACUGUAAUGCUAGAGUGUCGGAGAGGCAGGCGGAAUUCGUGGUGUAGCGGUGAAAUGCGUAGAUAUUAGGAAGAACACCGGUUGCGAAGGCGGCCUGCUGGACGAUAACUGACGUUGAGGCACGAAAGCGUGGGGAGCAAACAGGAUUAGAUACCCUUGUAGUC
Molecule: ribosomal RNA, 440 nt
Filed under: uncultured bacterium
Lineage: Bacteria
Description: partial 16S ribosomal RNA
Rfam family: Bacterial small subunit ribosomal RNA
Source: RNAcentral